This 27187-nucleotide long non-coding RNA is filed under the name Medicago truncatula (barrel medic). RNAcentral's name for it is "long non-coding RNA (MTRU_LNC008098)". Lineage: Eukaryota; Viridiplantae; Streptophyta; Magnoliopsida; Fabales; Fabaceae. The record is from RNAcentral.
AAUCUUUUCUACACCUCAGUUGGCAUUGGAACACCUCAACACAAUUUCAAUCUAGUGAUUGAUAUUGGAGGACCAACUAUAUGGUAUGACUGCAACAAAAACUAUAACUCUUCAACCUACAAUCCCAUCUCUUGUGACUCCAAGCUUUGCCCUAAAUUUAGUGGAUGCACUGGCUGCUCUGGCCCUUUCAAACCAGGUUGCUCAAACAAUACAUGUGCUGCUAACAUAAUUAACCCAUUAGUCAAUGCUAUUUUUGUAGGUGACACUGGCAAUGAUGUUUUGUUCAUAUCACACUCUAAAGUCUCUAACCUACUUUCUGGAUGCACUGAAUCAGAAGUGUUUACAGGUGAAGAUGUUCCUCUUAAAAACUUACCAAAAACUAGUAAAGGGAUAUUAGGCCUUGCAAGAACAAAACUUUCACUACCAAAACAGCUUUCAUCAUCUUCUUCUCAUAAGCUUCCUAACAAAUUUGCUCUUUGUUUACCAUCUUCAAACAAGAAAGGACUUGGUAGCCUCUUCAUUGGUGGGAUACCCCAACAAAGUUCUUUUUUCAAGUUUCAACUCACUAAAAUUCCUCUUGUUAUUAACCCCUUUAGCACUGCUCCAAUAUUUACUAAAGGUGAUGCUUCUUAUGAAUAUUUCAUUGAUGUGAAAUCAAUUAAAGUUGGUGGUGAAAUUCUUAACUUUAAGUCUUCCCUUUUGUCCAUUGACAAUAAGGGAAAUGGUGGGACAAAAAUUAGCACCAUGAAAUCUUUCUCAGUGUUGCAUAGUUCAAUUUAUAGUACUCUUGUUAGAGAUUUUGUGAAGAAGGCUUCUGAUAAAAAAAUAAAGAAAGUGGCAUUAGUGGCACCAUUUGGAGCAUGUUUUGAUUUUAGCACCAUUGGUAGGACUAAUACUGGAUUGGAUGUACCAACUAUUGAUUUGGUUCUACAAGGUGGUGUAGAGUGGACAAUUUACGGUGGAAAUUCAAUGGUGUUGGUGAAUAAAAAGGUAGCAAGUCUUGGAUUUGUGGAUGGUGGUAAAAAGCCAACAACAUCAGUUGUUAUUGGUGGGCACCAAUUGGAGGACAAUCUACUGGAGUUUGAUUUAGUUUCAUCUAAAUUAGGAUUCAGCUCUUCCCUGCUUCUUCAUAAUGCAAGAUGUUCUAAUUCAUAAACUAAUUUCUCUCUUAUUUCAAUUGAGUGAGAUUAUGAGUUUAAUUAACUUUUGUUCUUUCCAUUUCAAUUGAGUUAGGUUAGAUCUAUGGUUGUAACUUUUUCCUUUCUCUUUCUGUCUGAAUUUAAUAAAGUAAAAUGUCACUUAUUAUUGGCUGAGAAUUAAUGAAGUGCAUCCAUUUUUGCUUAAUUUGUGUAUGAUGCUAGUUCAAAGAAAACUCCCUCUAUUAUGGUUCAUAAUUUAUACACAUUAACACAAUAAAAAAAGUGAAUAGACGGACACGGAAUACCUCUUUGAACACUAGUACAAUAUAAUAGGAAAUGUAUUCACAAGUGACGAGUACAACUAUAAAUAUCAGAGUAUCCAUACUUUAGGUAAUGAAAGACAGUAGAAAUAUUGGUAAUAAACAAAAUGGCACCAGAAAUUGGUAAUGAAAGGCUCAAACUUAGAGAAGACGUGAUAGGGGCGGAUCUACACAUUUGAUAUAUGUGUGGCUAAAAUUUCAAAGAAACAAUAAUGUAAACUAUAUAAAAAAUAAGAAAUAACAUUGUUUGAUACAAUACAUUGCAAUGAAAAUCAUCUCAUAUUCAUAUGUUGAAAAUGAGCUAAAAUGACAUCAUUGCUAAUUGUUAAAAGAACAUUCUUUCUAUAUAAGUUACAAGACAAUCAUCUAGCCACAGAUCACCUAUUUUGUUACAUAUAUAGUUGACUUUUCAUAACUUUCAUAGCUGAAAAAACACGUUCAACAUUUGCAAAUGCUACCAGCAAGAGCAAAGUCAACGUCAAAAGCUUAUAAACCAUAACAAAUGUGUUGAACUUAUUGUGUUCUGGUUGUUGUUCGUGAGGGACAUAGAGUUCGGAUGGAUAGGGAAUAUUGUAUGUUGUUCUACAUAUUGUGUUUUAUUUAUAUAAAAAUAAAUAAUGGGAAAUUGCAUGUGCAUGUGUGGCUUUAGCCACACAUAGGCCAAUAGUGUGUCCGCCCCUGAGACGUGGCCUCAUGCAAGGAAAAGGCGGGUCACUUCAUUGAAGCAAAUUUUGGUUUAAAAUGGACAUUUUAGUCAACAAAAUACAUACUCGAUCAUCUUUAUUGUAAUACUCCUCCAUCCUAUUUAUAAAAGAUAUUUGAAUCAACAUAGUUGAUAUAUUUAAUCUAAAUUUUUAACUAAAUACAUCAAUUUUUGUUAACUAAAAUCAGCGGAAUCGAGUAUCAAAGAUGAAAGUAGUGUCACGGCUUCCCCUCUCAUAUUACGCUGCUGAAAUGUUAUGCAACUUAGUCUAAAUGCAAGAAAAUAUGGUACAAUGUGUCUAUGAUUCACAAACUGUGGGUUAGAGAAUAAAGUUGAGAGGAUAAAAGCGUGGUAUUGAAUAAUUAAAUGAUGAACAGCUGUAUAUAUUAAUGAAUUAAGUAGCACAAGAGUCCAGGCCUCCCAACUAUAUUUUAAAAACAACUUGGUGAUAUUUUUGGCAAGAAUUCUGGACCAUUGGAUCAUUGAAUCACGGGUUGAAUCACAUAGUUGAACAAGAUAAAAUCAAAUAACUCAAAGGUAUAUUUCGGGUGUCUAUAUUUUUACAAAAAAAAUGUUUGAUAAAAAUUUAACUAACACAGAAAUGUUAUUGGUGCAAUUUGGGUUAGAAUCCUCUCCAUUUACUAUAUAUUUUUUCAUUUAUUAUAAAGAGAUACAUACAAAUUUUUUGACAAAAGUAAUAAAAUAAUUAAUGAUGGUGAGAUCUAUUAAUUGAUCAAACUCACAACGUAUUUUUCGUGUGUGUAUCUCUUUAAUUAAAAUUCUGUCAAAAAAAUCUCUUUAUUUAAAGAGUUUUUUUGACAGAAUUUUAAUUAAAGAGAUAAAUAAAGAGAUUUUUUUGACAGAAUUUUAAUUAAAGAGAUACGCUUAUAUCGUACCAAAAAAAAUCUCAUUUAUAUGUUGCAAACAAUUAAAAAUGAAAUGAAAAGACAAAUUUAACAUUAAAAUGAUAACUUUUUCAAGUUUCAAAAUGUAAAAUACACAAUCUUUCAAAAAAAAAAAAAAUGUAAAAUAUACAAUUUUUACAAAAAUAUUUCAUUUUAUAAUUCUUUAACUAAUAUCCAUGAGUCACUAGUUAGCAUUUCCCAUUUCAAAAUGGAGAUUAUUCUUAUUCCAAUUUGUGUAAUUUAUUAUGAUUUUUUUAGCUUUUUGAAGAGAUGUUAAUGAAUUGGUCCUUUAUCUGCAGUUUUAAAGUUUCUUAUUCCUAUGCUUACUAGUACUUGCAAUUUGCAAAAACCAAAAAUAGUGAUCAUCGAACUGCAUGCUUAAUUGCUUCACACUGCCGCAAGACACAAAGUAACGGAGUCAGUAAAAAAUAAAACUGGUUGAGUUGAACAAAUUAUUGCAUCAUCGAACUGUGUGUUGAACAUGCAUGGAGUACGGUGUUCGUGUUUCUAAAACAAAUAUGUACUAUACUUUUCUUUUAUUAGGGGAAAUGCAGACGAAGCAUAUAAAAUCAAACUACAGUUAAUAUGAUAAUAAUUCUGUUCAAUAACUAAAUGAUCUCGAAGUUAUUUUACUAUUGCAAAUAAGCCGGAAGUAAAACAAGAAGAGAAACACGCAAUUUGGAUAAUGAACAGAUCCAGUACUACAACAUAAUUGACAUCUAGUAACACAUGAAAAUUAUUACUAAAUUAAAAAAAAUGUUAUUAAUUAAAAUUAGUAACAUUUGUACAAUUGUUAGGUAAAGCCCAUAUUACUAAAGAGCUUUAGUUACAUUUUGUAGUAUUAUCUGUAACAUUUAAAAAUUGUCGUAAAAUGUUACAUUAUUAUAACACUUUUUGUAUCACUCGUAACACUAAAAAGUUAUUACAUUUAUAAUUUUUGAGAAGUUGUAAAAAAUGUCGCAAAAUUGUCCAGGCUAAAAAAUUGUGAAACUACCAAAAAAUGUUACUACUAGUUGAAAUAGAUUAAAAAAAAAGUGGAUUAUCAAUAGGAGUUUUUGUACUCAAUCUACCACAUUGAAUCUAGAGAUUGCAUAAGUGUUUUUACAUGAUCCAAGCAAAUCAAAAUACUACAUUUUGAUCAAAAUUUAGAUCGAUGAUUUUGGAUAACAUUAUAAUCAAAUAAGAUAUCCUAACCAGUAAUAAUCACUUUUUCCAUCAAAUUAAAAAAAAUAAAAAAAAAUUAGCCAUGAGGGAAUCUAACCAAGCUAAUGCAACAAAAAUCUUUGUUUGCAAAACCAUCUUUCAUAGCUUCUCUGGAAACAACAAAAGUCUUCUAGCUGCAAGUAUUUAGAAGGAACGUGAGAACAAAAACAAAAUAAAAGUAAAUUUGAGGUAUAAAUAAUUGAACCAAAUCCAACAAUCACUAGAAAAUUGAGAUAUAAAAAUGGAGCAGAAUUUACCUUUACUAAAGAUGAAGCAAGCAAAAUCCUAUUGAUUUAAAUGUUUCUACUUUCUGAAGAGAAGAAGAGAGGAAGGACUUCCUCUGAUAUUGUUAUAUUUCCUGAGAGUAAAACCAAUCCUACCAUAUCCUAAGCACAAAAAACAUCAUAUAGAUUCACAAUUACCACGCAACAGAACAUACAAGCUACUCAAAUAGUGAUAAAAUAUAGAAACCAAUCGAAAAGGAAAAGCAUGAUCAAAUCAAACACCUUUGUAGAGAUGAACAGGACAACACAAGGAUCAUGUUAAACUCUUGUUCAACAAUAAAUGUUCUUGCAAGACCCAAAGGAUGGACCAGCCUGCAAAAUUUCUAACAUCACGUAAUCGUUAGAAAGAAAUAACUUUCCUUUUGUCAAACAAAGAUUUCCGGUAAUAUAUCACGUUUGAAAGAGACACAAAAGUGAAAAGGCCGAAAAACAAUUAUUGGUAUUACAAGUGGAAAUAGAAUUGAAACUAAUAUGGCAAACUGAAUUAGAGAAAGACUCGGUUUCUGGAAAAUCAAUUUUGUAGAAACUACCAACUAAUCUAGUUGUACCAAUCAUCCUCUUGGUAGUGUCCUGCAAAAAUUAGAAGUAAAGACAGCAACAUAUCUUGGAACUGAAAUUAAAUUGGCAUGAAAGUUAGUAACAACAAAAAUACUUUGUUGGUAGAAUGAAAUGCACAUGAAGCUUUUGUCUUAGACUGCUGAAGCAAAUUCAUGAGACUGUUGUAUUGAUCUUGUGUAAACCCCUUUAGCACUGCUCCAAUAUCUGGUAAAGGUGAUGCUUUUUAUGAAUAUUUAAUUGAUGUGAAAUCAAUUAAAGUUGGUUGCAAAGUUCUCAACUUUAAGUCUUCCAUUUUGCCCAUGGACAAUAAGGAAUAUGGUGGAACAAAAUUUACCACCAUGAAGUCCUUCACAGUGUUGCAUAGUUCUAUAUUUAAAUCUUUUUGCUAAGAAAUCUGCUGAUAAAAAAAAAUAAAGCAAGUGGCAUCAGUGACACAAUUUGGAGCAUGUUUUGAUUUAAGUGCUAUUGGUAGGACUAUUAUUGGAUUGGAUGUGAUAAAUAUUGAUUUGGUCCUAAAAAGGGGUGUGAAGUGGACAGUAUGUAUAUGGUGGAAAUUCAAUGGUGUUGGUGAAUAAAAAUGUAGCAUGUCUUGGAUUUGUGGAUGGUGGUAAAGAACCAAGAAGAUCAAUUGUUAUUGGUGGGCACCAAUUGGAGGAGAAUCUAUUGGAGUUUGAUUUAGUUUCUUCCAAAUUAGGAUUCAUCUCUUCCCUUCCCCUUCAUAAUUCAAGAUAUUCCAACUUCAGAAGCUAAUUUCUGUCCUAUUUUAGUUACGCAGCAUUACGAGUCUAUCCAUCUCCUGUCCUUCAAUUUCAUACUCCUGUAUCUAACCUUUGUGAGUUGUUAGGGUUUCCUUGUGUCAUUGAGAGGAGCCAUCCUGUGAAACUGCACUAGAAUUAGGAAGAACCAUUUAGCAAUUGUUUCAUACCGAUCAAAAUCGUAUUCCAAUCGAUAAAACCCUUAAUUAUGUUAUGUUUCAAUUUUUAUUGGGUAGAAAGAAACCAGCAGCUUUCUAAAUUGUUGUUUUUAUCCUGUGUCUGAAAGGUGUUUUUAAAGUGAGUUUGUUGUUAUCAAGAUCUUCCGUUUGACUCACUUUUUCGUCUUAAGACAUGAAUAGAGUUUAAUUCAUUAAUGUAAUGGGAUGGGUACGUUGAAUUGUUGAUUUAAUUAGGGAUGUCUCAUGAUCCCUAAGUAUCCUACGACGAUAUUGUUACGAAUUAGGUUUUGUUCAUUCUAUUCCCCUGUUCAAAGGUUUUAGUUUCCUUUCAUUCUAUUUCAUCUGAAUUCGAUGAUGAAUUCUUUUUUGAAAUUUUGCUUAUCUAUAGUUACUUUGCUGGACAACAUCAUUGAACAUUUUCUCAGAACUUUUUACUUACUGAACAGUGCCAUUUUUUUUUUCUUUUUGCUUUCUUUGUUAUCUUUAGGAGUUUCUAGCAUUCUUGUUGCACACAAUAAACUUCAAAAUUAGUUGAGAUUAAAUAUUUUAGUCAAAACAAAUUCAUAGUAUGAGCACAAGAUAAGCAGGAAGUAAAAUAGUUCUGCAGAAACCUAUAUAUGUAGAUUGACACUUGACAUAAAAUGUGUGUUUAAUCAUAAUAUGCACCUUUUAUGAAGGUCCCAGCAAAUAGCUUUAUAUAAGCUCAAAGACAUAUUUAUCAGUUUCAUAUAAAUAUUCAUUUGUUCUACAAUGGUCCAGCGACCGAAAAAUUCAAUUCUGCAGAUUCAUGGCACCAACCUGUGUAUCAGAAAUUAAAUUUUACAGUGAUUCAAAUCAUGUAGAAUGUUUUGCCAAUGUCAUUCUUCAAUAGCAAUAUAAGCCAUGUAGAUCCUUUAAGCAAUAAAAUUAUUAAUUGUUAAUGCUUAUCGCUAAUGCCAAUCAGUGCAUAAUAUACGUAAGGAAGGGAUGAAAUGAGGAAUGAUAUAUGAAAAGGAAAUUAAGAAAUAAAUAGAGGAAAAUGGAAGUAAUUGAAACAUGAAUUUCCUUAUUAUUGACAACAUGAUUUUAAAAUUCAAAAUACAUAAUAAUUCAACUAUUCAGAUAGUAAUAAUCAAUUUUACAUGUGAACAAUAUAUAACCUCUUCUAUACUAAAUACUUAUGAAAUUUUCAUUAAAUUUGACGGAUCCCAAUAGCAAUCUAAAGACUACGCUACAAUUCUUCAUAUAUCUUCAAACUUUUAUCCAUGUUAUUUUUUUUAAUCUGCAUAAUCAUUGUUGCUACAUAAUUCACAUUGUUGACUACAGCUACUGACAAACAUUCAACCUCCAAAAAUAUAUAAUGUUUAAAUCUAUAUUCUAUAUCAGAUGAUCAAACAUGGUAUAGAAUUAUCAAAAAAGAAAAAAAAAAGGUUAUUUUGCGUUCCUGCACUGCAUCAGAUCUGUCAUUAAUAGAAGAUCAAGAAUCACAAACAGCACAACCAAUAUAAAAAAAAAGGUUUGUAAGGUGGGGAGUGUCUCCUUUUUAUAAACUCUUGUCAAAAACUAUCUAUCCAACGUGGGACUCGGGUAUUUCUCAAUGCACCUUGGUAUUUCUCAAGACACCCCUCACGCCCAACAUUAUUGGGCUUGAUGUGUGUAUAUAAAUAGUCGGUGGCAUAAUUGAUAAGUUCUGAAACCAUGUUGAAAUUGAGUCUUAUUGUCUUACUCAUCCUUAUAAAACCGGCUUGCAAGGUGAAGAGUGUAUCCUCUUUAUAAACUCUUACCAUGAGUCUCAUUGGUGACUAAAUUUGACAAGUGCACCAAACUGUUUCCAAGUAAUAAAGUAUUAUGUAAAAUCGUCUCCACAGGGAUUGUCGUUUCGACUAGGCAAUUAGCUAAACCUAGUAAACGCAAUAGAAUGGGGGAAGUUUGCAAGUUUGUUUUGUUUGUGCAAAGCGAUUGGAUAGAUUGCAGAAAAUAAAAAGGGUUUGAUUCAAAGUUUUAGCGACGAUUAGAAUUCCUCGAUUCCCCAUCUAUCUCUUUGUUGGGAUUAAUGCUAAUACAACUACAAAUUAUGAAAUGAUAUUUCUUAUUUAAGUGGUUAGUUCGGUGGGUUCCAGCUUCCCUCUAGAUGUUAUGUUGCUCCUCAAUCACCCAACAUGCAAUAUGGGGUACGUGGUUGUCAAUCCUCUAGAGUUCCGUACACGUCAAAUAAUUAUAAAGUGAGAAUUUACACUCUCAUAGGUAAUUCCCACAUAGCAUAGUUGAAAUUCUUAAAUUGUCAUCUAAAGGAACCACUUUUACAUACAAAUCUUAAAAUUUCACCACAUACAAUUGACUCCAAUUGAUUAAAGAAAUAAGAAUAACCCUAAUUAAUUAGAGAAAGAAGAAUAAAGUUAAUAUGUAACGAUUUUUGUGUAAGGCAGAUCCCAAACUGCACCUAAUCUAAGAUUAGUCACACUGACUAGGUAUGUCAAACUCUCCAGAGCAUGAAGGCAUUAUAUUAUGCGAUACUUAUGAAAAUUUAAUAGAUCUCAAAUCAUAACUGAAGAAAAGACUUGCAUGAACAUAAUCCAACAAAUAAAUAAAGGUUGAUCUUAGAACCCUAAUCAAAGGGUGUUUAGUUACUCAUGGUAACAAAAGAUAUAAUACAAAAGAAAUAAAAUAUACUCUAACAACAAAGGUUUAGGAGAGACUCCUCCUUGAUGCUCCUAGUGUCCGCCUUCCUGUUGAACGCCAAGUUUUGAAUGAAUAUUUGUGAGUGGAAGAAGUUGUAUUUAUAGAUAUAUUUGCUACUGGAUUUGGGCUAGAAAAUUAGGUGUGUUCCCCAAACUCGUAGAAAAAAUAAAGCAAAACGUAUUUUUUCAGCACAAAACGUGCAUCGUGCGUCAGGUUAGGCGUGUGGCAGCUAACAAAGAGCAAAAUUCUCUCUGUCCCAUGCACCUGGGCAACAUGAGACACACACGAGGCGUGUGGCCUCAACCUCUCGUGCUGAUUUUGCUUUUUUCUUCGUUUUUUCCUGUGUUUUCUUUCUCCAAUGUGAUCUUGGAAUUUUGGAACUGAAUUCCCCCAACUUGUAAUAUCUUCAAAUCCUUCAUGACCAUUGAUGAUCUUUAAAUCCUCCAAUGUGGGUGCCCAAGUUUCAUGGGGAGCUAAGUGCCAACAUCAUCAACAUUGAAUUGACAUCAUCAAAAAGGGGGAGAAUGAAGCUGCCAUUUACUACACGAAAUCUGAAAAUUUGCCAGGGGCGGAUUCAUUUUCAUAAGAUUUAAUUUAAAUAAAAUUUGACAUUAUAUCGAUGUAAUUUGAUUCAUUUACAUAUAUAUAUAUAUAUAUAUAUAUAUAUAUAUUAAUAUUAUAGAGUACAAUAAUAAUAAUAAUAAUUUAUAGAAAACUGCUAAGAGUUAUGAAAUCUAAAAAAUAAAUAUUAUUUUGAAUAAUGGUAAGAAAAUGUAUAUUCAACAUUUUGGAUGUUUUAAAAGGUUUUUUUUUUUUUUUUUUACAAAUUGAAAAGGGUUGUUUCCGAUACAAAAUUUCUACUUUUUACAUUCUUAUCAAAUUUAAUUAGAGCACUUGUUACAUAAUCCUAAUUUACAUUGCAAUACAAACUUAUCUCCAUUUGUGAUGUGAAAAAUAUAAUAAAUAAAGACCCCGUCAAAAGAUAAUAAUAAUUAAAGACUCAUACAUGUGCAUAUUAAAUAUUAUAAAACAUACAGACAAAAAAAAAAUAUUUUCCCCUAAAAAAAUAAUAUUUUAAAACAUUUAAAAACCUACUUGACCCUUUAUCAAAAAAACAAAACUACUUGACCCUUUAUACAGAAAAACAAAACUACUUGACCCUUUUUGGGACUAAAAUAACCAACCUACGUAUACUUGUCUAAUUUAAAAUGGAACAUGCCUUUUCUCCUCUGGCAUCACAAGGAAUUAUCUAGUCUAGUAAGAAAAUGGUUGACAGCGUUCAUUUUUUUAGUUAAUGCAAUAAUAAAAGUGGUUAAUGACAUAACUUAAAAUCUGUGUUACAAAAAUCACCGCUCGCUUUUUACUUUUAACAAACAAAAAUGAUAUAUAUAAACACGGACAAACAAUCUCCUUAACAUAUAUAAGGUAUAUCAAAAAGACCACUUAAAACUUUACAAUGUCAAAGUCUAGAUAUAGAAACAAAUUAGCCAAUGCCCAAACACAAGAGCGGGCUCGACCACCACAUAUGAAUACCAAAAACAAAAUUAACUUUCUUAGCUUUAAGCCACCAUAAAGACAAUGACUUAACCUUUUUCCAAUAUCUGAAUCAUAGAAUUUUCUCUUUGCUUAAAUAACCUGCUGUUACGCUGAUUUCACACAAUCCAAACACACAGUAACCGGACAAGCUGAAGAAAGGACCACCUUGGUUUUAGCCCACCUGUGUAAAAAAUAAAUUGCUGAAAGUGAUAUAAAAUAAUCUGAGAAUCUGCCCCUUCAAAACCGAUCCACGACCGCACUAGCGGCCAAAGAGUGCCGAACAUGCUGCACGAGAUCAUGUUGAGCGUCCUCCACAUGACCACACCCAGCCACAUAAAACCGCUCAUCUGAAGUAAUAAUUAAACUAAAUAACCAGCCACCUACAAAGAAAGUGUGUUCUGGUAUCAUUUUUCAGUAAGUUUAUUUCUAGAAGACAUAAUUGUUUACUUCUUGAUCAAACUCUAGAUUGUUAGUGUUCAUUUUCACCUAAAACUAUAUUGUUAGAUUUUUGAAAUUAAGUUAAGAUCUAACACGCAUGAUAACAACUUAGGCCUCCACACACCUAUAAAAUAAAAUAUAAAAACUAAUGCCUCCACACACAUAUAAUUAACUGGAUAACUUGUAACAGUUAGAUUUAAGUAAAUAUAUACUAUAAGAUUGUAUAUGAAGAUGCUAUUUAUGGGAGAAAAAUGGAGGAACUGACUUUAUGAUACAUAAAAAAUUUAAAAUAAAACUAACCUAGUAUAUUUAUCUAGAUUUGGCCCAAUAUGGUUCAAUGAAUUUGUGCCCUAUUAAACAAAUAUUUAUUUUUAUAAUAAGGACCGAAAAGAGUAUAGUAUUAAAAACUUACAUAUAUUUUCAAUGAGGAGUGCUAUGGACACUCUCUUUCUAACACUCUCUAACACUCACUCUUUUAUUGGGUGAAUUUAUGUGGGUACCACACAUUGGAAAUAGAUCCCACAUAAAGUGGUGAGUCCCACAUGAGUUUCACCCUAUAGGAGAGUGAGUGUUAGAGAGAUUGCUAAAAAGAGAAUGUUUCUAACAUUUCUCAUUUUCAAUACAAAAUUUAUGUUUUAGUUUAUUUUGUAACUCCUUAGCAUGUGUCUUUAGAAAGUUAGUAUGACCCUAAUAUAAAUAACAAAAUGCAUAUUGUUAAAUUAGCAAGUAGCAAUAAUGGAUUAGUUUAAUUGGUAAUAGAUUUGAAUCCCUUAAAUAAGAUGAGGGGUUCGAUCCCCAAUGCUUGAAUAUAGAAGAAAAAAAAAAUAAAAAAAAUAAGCACAAGCAGCAACUCUAUUAUAGCUUAUCCAGUUAAUGAGCAUCUGAGUUUUAUAAUAUUGACUGUAAUGAUGGUCAUUGUAUAUAAUUUUUUUUUUGACACAAUUGUAUAUAUCAAAGAUGAGCACAUUCCGUGAAGAUCAUACCAAAAUUAGAAACCAAAAUAAUUUUAUUAAAGUAAUAAUACUGUAAGCAACAGUUGCUCAUGCCAGAUCAUACCAACUACAAAGAAGAUUAAAGAGGAAUAUUAUAUAUACCAGUUCAAGUAUAGUCAAUUAAAAAAGAUUAAAUAAUGUAUCAGAUUAUACAUUUUCUUCAUUUAUUCAUUUCUAUAUAAAGGAAGCCCUUCACAUACAUUAAUCACUCAUCCAUUAGCCAUAGCAUUGAACUCACCAUGGCUUCUUUUUCUACACUUUUCUCCACUCUAAUUCUCACAAUAGCCCUUCUCUCAUUUUCUUGCUCAUCACAACAGUUCUUCUCACCAGUUGAAAAAGACCCAAUAACCAAUCUAUUCUCCACUUUACUUUGGGUAGGAACAGAACCUACACAUGAAUUCAAUUUUGUGAUUGAUAUUGGAGGACCAAUCCUAUGGUAUGACUGCAACAAAGCCUACAACUCUUCAACCUACAAUCCCAUCUCUUGUGAAUCCAAACAUUGCACUAAUGAUGCUGGAUGCACUAGCUGCAAUGGUCCUUUCAAACCAGGUUGCUCAAACAAUACAUGUGGUGCAAACAUAAUUAAUCCAUUAGUUGAUGCAAUUUUUUCAGGUGACACUGGCAGUGAUGCUUUGUUCAUACCAAAAUCUAAAAUCAAAGUCUCUGACUUUAUCUCUGGUUGCACUGACUCUAAUGCAUUUGCUGAUUCUGCUGACUCUGAUUUCCCUCUCAAAAACUUACCAAAAACUAGUAAAGGUAUAUUAGGCCUUGCAAGAACACCACUUUCAUUACCAAAACAGCUUUCAUUAGCUCCUCAAAAAAUUCUUAACAAGUUUGUUCUUUGUUUACCAUCUUCAAACAAACUUGGUAGUAUAUUCAUAGGUGGGGUACCAUCUAAUUUUGCCAAGUUUAAACUCACUACUAUUCCUCUUAUUAUUAACCCCUUUAGCACUGCUCCAAUAUUUACUGAAGGUGAUGCUUCUUAUGAAUACUUUAUUGAUGUGAAAUCAAUUAAAGUUGGUGGUGAAGUUCUGAGCUUCAAGUCCUCCCUUUUGUCCAUUGACAAUAAGGGAAAUGGUGGAACAAAACUUAGCACAAUGAAGUCCUUCACUGUGUUUCAUAGUUCCAUAUUGAAACCACUUGUUAGAGAUUUUAAUAAGAAGGCCUCUGAUAAAAAAAUUAAGAAAGUGUCAUCAGUGGCACCAUUUGAAACAUGUUUUGAUUUGAGCACUAUUGGUAGGUCUAAUGCUGGAUUGGAUGUGCCUACUAUUGGUUUGGUGCUAGAAGGAGGUGUGGAGUGGACAAUUUUUGGUGGAAAUUCAAUGGUGUUGGUGAGUAAAAAUGUUGCAUGUCUUGGAUUUGUGGAUGGUGGUAAAGAGCCAAGAACAGCUGUUGUGAUUGGUGGACACCAAUUGGAGGACAAUCUAUUGGAGUUUGAUUUGAUUUCUUCUAAAUUAGGAUUCAGCUCUUCCUUGCUCCUUCAAAAUGGAAGUUGUUCCAGAUCAGAUGUUAGUGAAAAUCUCAUUUCAGUCGAGUGAGAUUAUUGAGUUUAAAGUAACUUUUGUUGUUUCCCUUUUAAUCAAGUAAGAUAAGUCAGUCAUUUGUAACUUUAUUCCUUUUCAAUUCUCUCUAUGAUAGUAACUUAUGUAUUGUUGACUACGAAUGAAUGAAAGUGCGUGCAUUUUUUGUUUGAAUAUUGGUUUGAAGUUGGAAGGAAAUUAAAAGGUUGGAAGAUUAAAUAUCAAUAUUCGGUGAAUAUUGGUGUGUGAAUUAAAAAAAUUGAAUGUUGAGGUCGCACGUAGAAUAGAACACACAUAUUAAUAAUGUCUAUAUUGUGAUAUUUAUUUUUAAAUAUCUGAUAAUGAUGAAAAAAUAAUAGUAAUUAUUUUUUGAUUGUGCAUGUCACUACUUAUAAUUUUUUAUAAUGUUUGAUUGUGAUAAAAUUGAAAUUUAAUUGAGUUUCUUAUUUUUUUUCUCCAUUUGUAUCCAAUUAGUCCGUUUUCUCUACUUUGUGGUUAGUUUCUUUAUUAUCUUAUCUACGAUAGUCCUUGAACUAAUCAAAUUAAUGCCGCGAUUAUAGUUUAACUCAAUUAUGGAAUCUCUAUAUAAAUAAAUGAAUCCACUCACUGACACACUAUAAAGAGUUCUAUUGAAUCAUCAAUAACUAUUUCUCUCUUCUCUCUCUUACCGUUCGAUGCAUUUGCGAGAAAAUUCUCCCCUCUUCUUUACUAUCCUUUAUAAAUUAUGAGUGUUCUUAAUAUCGUAGUCCCUUUUAAGGCAUAACGUCGCUUCAUAAUUAAAAAUGAUCUUAAGAGCAUAGUCGCUUUGAUAAUUUGUGUCACUUCAAAAUAAAAAGUAUUUUCUAAUGUCAUUGUCCCUUUUGAGGAAUAAUGUCUCUUAGAAAUUAAUAAUGAUCUUAAGAGUAUAGUCCCAAUUAGAUAUUUUCUACCCUUGGAGAUGUUAGAGGUUAGAAUGGUUGUAGCACCAUAUUUGAGUAGUCAUAAUAUCAUAGUAGAGUGGUCAUAGUUCCACAUUUAAGUGGUUUCAAUAUUAAAUUUAAGUGAUCUUAGUACCAUAUUUGAGGAGUAAUUCUAGAGAAGAACCUACAAUGUUGCAAGACUUUGAGACAGCUGUAGUUGAACUAUUUUAUACUAGAGGUGGUGUGGUUGAUAUAUGAAAAAGAGGAGCUCGUUGGUGAAUCAAUAUAAUGUAUCGAGUUGCGGCAGUGUGUGAUUGGACGAACAAGUGCAUUGGAUUGUAGUUUAAUAGAGGUCGUUGAGGGAUAGAUACAUGGUUGUAUCUGAGGCAGGACGAGGAGAGCGACCGUUCUAAACCCCAAAUAAUAAGUACUAAAUUUGGGCAAAAAUAAUAAUAAUAGGGGCACAUUAGGCCCUAAUAAAUUUAAUUACAUUAUAAAGGAAUGCGUGGUUGUCAAUAUUAGGCUUAAUUUUUUUUAUUGAUCUAUUUAUAAAUUAUGUUGAUGUUAUAAAAGAAGUUUAAAUCCCUAGCCUUCCACCAUCCCUCAACUUCCUUAAAAAAAAAAAAAAAAACUCACACCAUAUCCCUCAACCUGCAACAGCUAAAUAUCACACACUUUCUUUUCAAAAAAAAAUUCCUAUAUUGAUAAAAAAGAAUGAUAAUGAUGAGGAAUUUUUUAGAGUCAAUUAUUUUUUGGUGGUUGUUGAUAUGAUAAUAACUUCAAUGAAAAAUAGAUUGGAGUAUUUAAAUUGUUUGAAAGUAUUUUUUUAAUUUUAAUUUGAGACAAGAAUGUUGAAACCAUAGGAAAAUGAUGAACUAAAAAAAUCUUGCACAAAUUUCAAGGUUGCAUUUUCUUAUAAGGGUUUAACGGAUGUUGAUGCAAAUUAUAUUUUUCUAAAUUGAAAGUGUGUGGAUGUGAACAUUUGCAAUUCUUGGGUUUGCAAAGCCGCAAAUUGUUAUCUGAGUGUUUCAAUUGUGUAUCGAAUUCUUUUAACGAAUGUUUGCGAGUGUUGCAUCUGAAGAAAUGUUUUUCGAAGUUAAAAUUAUUCAAAAACUACUUGAGAUAUUCGUCAAUGUCACAAGAAAGGUUGAAUGGUCUAGCCAUUUUGUGUAUUGAGAAAGAUAUGAUAAAAACAUACUCAAGUAGGCAUAAUUAUUAGUGACUUUGCAUCUAAAAAUGCUCGUAAGAAUAGCUUUGUAUUAGCAUUUGAAUAUUAAAUAAAAAAAAUUGGCUUAAAUACACUUUUGGUAUCCUAUUUUAAUUUUUCUGGAGUUUCGGUACCUAUUAUAAAACUCAUCUUUUUGGUUGCCCUAUUUUAAUUUUUUUUUUUCUUUCUAACUUUUGAUCCUCCAUCCUUCUACUAAAAAACUUGACUUUUAGUGACAAUAAAUUUUUGUAAGCAAAACUUGGUUUGCCAUAGACAUAGCCCAAAAAUCUAUAGCCACGGAUGUUUGGCCGUUGCUAUAGCCUACAGCGACGGAUUUUGCAUGUUAGACAGAACUCUUUGUUUUACCUACGGAUCUUAUCCGUUGGUAUUGAGUUUAAUGAACACUUGGAAAUAUGUAGGUUAGGUACUAGGGGCUAUACUUACGAAGUUUCUAAGUGUUGAUUAAACUCUAUACCUACGAAUAAAACAAAAGUUUUGUCUGACAUGCAUAAUUUAGUAAUGUAGAUUAUAGUGAUGGUCGAAAAUCCCUGGGUAUAUGUACUUGUGCUAUGCCUACGGUAAACCAACUUUUGCAUACAUAAAUUUACUGUCACUAAUAAUCAAGUUUUUUAGUAGUAGGGAUGGGGGAUCGAAAGUAAAAAAUAAAUUAAAUAGGGCCAAAAUGCUGAAUUUUAAAAAAGGGGUACCAAAAUGUUUUUUUUUUAUUUAUAAAAUAUAAUAUUUUUAUUAGAUUAUUCUCUUAGCGUAAUAAAAACUAGUUACUGAUUCUGCAUUCAGUGUUGAGAUUAAAUGCUAUUGAGAUUGCCUACCAGAAAAAUUGGCUCAACCUAUGGUUGGAAAAUGAUUCCAAGCUAAAUAUGAUGACUUUCAAAAAUGCUGCUUUGAUUCCUUGGGCCUUAAGAAACAGGUGGAUGAACUUUCAAGAAAUGAUCAAUGGCAUGAACUUCAUGGUUACUCACAUCUUCAGAAAUGGUAAUACUUGUGCUGAUGAUUUAGCGAACUUAGGUCUUAAUGUUCCAAGUUUUGUUUGAUGGCAGGAUGCACCUAGCAAUAUUAGAAGAGAUGUAUGUAAUUACAAACAUGUUGGGUAUGUCCAAUUUUAGAUUUGUUACCUUCUGAAAAGGUUAUGGGUAUAUCCCACUUUUCUCUUUUGUAUAUCUUCCUUUGUUUUUAAUGAUAUUGGAUAGCGUGCUUUGCACUACUCUUAAAAAAAGAAAAAGAGUAGAAGUUAGUUUUAUUAUUUUUUGUAAAAAAAAUUAAUACAUCGCUCCUUAAAUAUAAUAAAGUUCUUCAUUCAAUUUUCUAUUUAGUUUUUUUUAGGGAACAUUUUUCUGUUUAGUUAUUUAUGUAUCGAUAUACCUUUAAUUAUUUUCCAUUCUUUUUGGCAUAGCCUUUAAUUAUAUAUAUAAUGUCACGGUAUUGCGUCUUCUUUGACGUGAUUAAUAUAUGCAUAAAAGAACACCACAAAUAAAAAAUAUAUGCAUCAAAAAAGGCAUUCCUUCGAUAAAGACAGACGGCUAAGAAAAAUGAUGCACAUGUUAAAGACAUAACAAAAUAUAAUUUAAAGUGUAAUAAAAAAAAUUAAAGCAAGCAUGCCCUAUAAAUAACAUAUCAUUAGGCUGUUUUCCAGCAAAAAGAAAAUAGUACAAGACCAGUGUCUAUUAUUGUGUUUUUUUUUUUUUUAAAUAAAUUAAAUAAUCCAUAUUGAAAACUUUAAUUCCAAACUAGCCUACAUAAAAUAAAAUUGUCAAAAUACUAUACUUUUCGGUUUGCAUAUUGGACCUUGCAAGUUAAGUACCUCGCAAGUCAAAUUAAUUCAUAUGCUUUCUGCUAUUCAACUGAGUGUCCUUUCACAUGUUUUAGAUUUAACUUGGUAUAAUGAUGCUUCAUUUAAGGUAUCUUUAUUUGUUUGGCUGUUCUUACGUAAUUGGCUUUUAAUCAAGGAUAAUUUGUUUAGACGAGAUAUCAUCAAUCAUGAUCGAAGUUUUGUGUAAGUGGUUGUAGUGUCUUUGAAUCGAUAAAUCAUCUGUUUUUUGAUUGUAAUGUUUUUAUUGCUAUUUGGCACCUUAAUCAUUGUUGGAUUGGGAUUUUUUCUGUCAACCCUUUUGGUAUUUUAGACCAUUUUGUUAUGUUUGGUCAUUUAACAUACGUUUCUAAAGUUCAGCGAUCUAUCUCACACGUCAUCAUUUGGUUCUUUUGUGUUCGUGUAAUUUGGAAAGAGAGGAACAACAAAAUUUUCAAUUCAGCAGCUCUUGGGCAAAAUUAAGUUACUUUCUUAUUAGUAGCAAAAUAUGCUAAUAUUGUUUUUGGGUAUCAUAGCUAGUGGCUUGCCCCUUUCUCUUGUUUCGACAUUGUUUAAUUGCUCUCUAUUAUUUUUCUCUCAUAUCAAUAUUUACUUGUUUCUUUUAUAAUCUCUGAUGUUCUUCUUAAUACAUCUUGUGCUGCAUAGAAUGUUUUUUUGUUGGUAAUAUAUUCCAUUUGAUUCUUUAAAAAAACUUUUUUUUUAGUUAAAAACUGAAAGCCGGAAAGUGAGCUCUAUGUGAGAUUGAAAGGGUAUGUACUCUUAUGGAUAUAGAGACCCUGGGAGUAAAAUGUUGCAGAAGCAGCAGAACUGACUUCGUGGAAACAGUAUAUAAAAAAAUGGGGCAACCGACUUUAUGGGAAAACGAAAAUUAAAAACUAACAUUUUAUAUUUCUCUAUGUGAGAUUAAAGGUGGCAUUUCACAUGGGAAAUGUUAAUCCUUUCCCACCAUGGGAAAGUUGGAUUCAAUGAUUAGAUUAAGUGAAGAACAUAUUCUUAACAUGCUCUUUCAACACUAGAUUUUUCUUCACAGUUUCUUUCAACAAUUUUAAAAUUCUAAAAAUUAAUUUUUAGAAAUUAAAAAAAUAUAAAAAAUUCAGAUAAUUUUUUUUUUUAAAAAUUCUGUAAUUCAUUUAUUGAAUGUUAGAAUUUUUUUUUUGAAAAAAUGAAAAAAAAAUUGCUCAGAAUUUUAUUUUCUUAGAAAAAUAAAAAAAAUUAAUUUCAAAAUAUUUUUUUUAGGAUUUCUAUUUUAUUUUUCAGAAUAUCUUAUUUUAUUAUGAAAUUAAAAAAUAUAUUCUUUUUAGAAAAAUAAAAACUUAUCUUAAUUUCCAAAAUUUUAUUUUUAUUGAAAUAAUUAUUAUUUUUUUGCAAAAAAAAAAUUAUAACAUUCAAUAAAUGAAUUACAGAAUUAAAAAAAAAAUUAUAUGAAUUUUUUAUAUUUUUUUAAUUUCUGAAAAUUAAUUUUCAAAUUUUUAAAUUGUUAGAAGAUAGUGUGAAGAAAAAUCUAGUGUUGAGAGAACAUGUUAAGAAUAUGUUCUUCACUUAAUAUAAUCAUUGAAUCAACUUUCCCAUGGUGAGAAAGGAUUAACCUUUCCCAUGUGAACACACACCGAGAUUAAAAGCCUCAUUUUAUAUUGCCCUUGAUUUGGCCCAAUCUAGUCGGACAUAUGAAGAUGCUAUAUAUGGGAGAAAAGUGGGGGAACUGCCUUUAUGGUAAAAAGAAAAUAAAAAAUUAACCUCUUAGCCAAAUCUUCUUCAAUGAAUUUAUACCCUCUUAUGUGUUAAUUUUUUUGUCAGAUAGUCUAGUGGCCGGAGCUCACACAUUUUAAAUGUGGAGAAGUGGAGUGUCCGAAGUUCGAACCCCGACCCCUGCAUAUAAAAUACAUUUGUCCCUACCAACUGAACUAAGCUCAUGGGAACUCUUAUGUGUUAAUUUUAAUAAAUAAAUGUAUAAAUCAAUCACUAAAACAUAUAUGAGAUUUAGUAACAUAAUAAAAUAAUGUUACUAUUUAAAUUUAGUAAUAUUUAAUAAAUAUUAGGUAAAAUCUACGUUACUAAAUGAUUCAAGGGGUAGAAGAUUUGAGCUUUUUAAACCAGUGAUUAGCAUAUAGGGAGAAGAAAAAAUAAAAAACUGGUAGCAUCAAUAUAUUAGAGUUCUUGCACCCAGUUGAUAAAGCAUCCAAGUUUUAUAAUAUUGACUGUAAUGAUAGUCAUUGUAUAUAAUUGUUUUCUUGACAGCAUUGUAUAUGCCAAAGAUGAGCACAUUCCGUGAAGAUAUAAACAAUUACAAACCAUAACUAUUUUAUUGAAGUAAUUAUACUGUAAGCAACAAUUUUUAAUUCCAGAUCAUACCAACUACAAAGAAGAUUAAAGAGGAAUAUUAUAUAUACCAGUACAAAUGUACACUACUAGAACAAAUCACAUUUAGUAAUACUUGAAAAUUGUAACUAAAUCAAGAAAAAUAUUACUAAUUAAAUUUAGUAACACAUGAACAAUUGUUAGAUAAAGUCCGUGUUACUAAAGAGUUUUAAUUACAUUUUAUAGUACUAUCCGUAAUAAUAAAAAAAUGUCGCAAAUGUUGCAUUAUUGUAACACUUUUUGUAUCACUUAAUAACAAUAAAAAAUGUUACAUUUAUAAUUUUUGAGAAGUUGUUCACAUCUACAAUGUUGUAAGUCUCUAAGACAGAUAUAGUUGGACUAUUUUAUCUUAGAGGUGGUGUGAUUGAUAUAGGAAAAAGAGGAGUUCGUUGGUGAAUCAACUUAAUGUAUUGACUUGCGGCGGUGUAUUUAAAGUGUUUGAACGUAUUUUUGAAUUUUAAUUUGAUACAAAAAUGUUGAAAUCAUAGGAUUGUGAUGAACUAAAAAAAUCUUCCACAAAUUUUAAGGUUGCAUUUUCUCAUAAGGGUUUAACGGAUGUUGAUACAAAUGAUAUUUUUCUAAAUUGAAAGUGCUGCAAAUGUCUUCGUCAAAUGUGUAGAUGUGAACAUUUGAAAUUCUUGAGUUUGUCAAAGCUGCAAAUUGUUAUAUGAAUGUUUCAAUUGCAUAUCGAAUUCUUUUAACAAUAUAUGUGAGUGUUGCAUCUGCAGAAAGGUGUUUUUCGAAGUUAAAAUUAUUGUAAAAAUACUUUAGAUAUUCGUAUAUGUCACAAGAAAGGUUGAAUGGUCUAGCCAUUUUGUGUAUUGAGAAAGAUAAGAUAAAACAUAUUGAUGUAGGCACAAUUAUUAAUGACUUUGCAUCUAAAAAUGCUCGUAAAAAUGGUUUUGUAUUAGCAUUUAAAUAUUAAAUAAUUUUUUUAGCUUAAAUGCACUUUUGGUACUCUAUUUUAAUUUUUCUGAAGUUUUGGUACCCCUAUUUAAAAUAUAACUUUUUGGUCGCUCUAUUUUAAUUUUUAUUUCUAACUUUUGAUCUCUCUCCGUACUAAAAAUUUGGCUUUUGGUGACAGUAAAUUUCUGUGGGUAAAACUUAGUUUACUGUAGGCAUAGCCAAAGUACCUAUACCCACAAAUUUUUGGCCAUCGAUUACAGAUAUGGAUUUUGCAUAUAAGACAAAGCUUUUUGUUUUACCUAUGGAUUUUAUCCAUAGGCAUAGAGUUUAAUCAACACUUAGAAAUAUGUAGGUAGGUACUAGGGGCUAUACCUAUGAUGAAAGAAAUUUUACUUGUGGAAAUUUAUUGUUACUUUCUAUAUACUUGGUGCUAUAGCUACGGCAAGAGGACCUACGAAAAUUUAUUGUCAUUAAAUGUCAAGUUUUUUUGUAGUGGAAAUGGGAGAUCAAAAGUAAAAAAAAUAAAAUAAAAUAGGUGUAACAAAACUUCGGAAAAAAUGAAAAUAGGGGUACCAAUAUGUUUUCUUUAUAUGAAAUAUGAUGUUUUCAUUAGAUUAUAUUUUAACGUGAUAAAAAUUAUUAUCUUCUCAACCAAAUUAUUUUCACACUUUAAGAAUUUAAAUUUUUUAUAUGUUUAUUAAUUAGAGUCCAAAUUAUAAGUUCGGUCAUAGAUCACCAAAAUUUUUGAAACGGUCCUGAAUAGAUAUAUGAAGGUGAAAAGUGUAUAACUAACUACCUUUUUGUCAUAUUCUUUAAUGAAAACAUUAACUAAAAGAUAAUUUCUAAAAAUCCAUAUGUAUAAUUAAAAUGAUCAAAUAAAACUUAUACUACUAUAGGUGUUCUCUCUUAAUUAUCACCUAGCUUUUACUAGAAAUUAAAAUCUCAAACUUUUAAUUAUACAUGUAUUAUUAUUUCAUUUCACUUUGAGAUGUUACUCUAAUUCGUGUAAAAAAAAAAUGUAACCCUACUUAUUAUAUUCGUCUGUCUUAAACGUGCACAUAUAAGUUCGAACAUGCACUUUUUAUCAUUGGAUUUGUCUAACAUGUGCAACAUUGCACAUGUUAAAACAACUAAUAGUAGUAACUUUUUUUUGAAAAACAACAAUUAUUUAUUCAAAAGUUUAAUAUUUAAUACUAAGUGUACACGUUCCAAUACAAAAUUUCUAUCUUAAACUUUUUAACACGUGCAAAUUUGCACAUGAUAGAAAAACUCUUUAUCAUUUAAUAUGUGUGAGUUUUGUCAUUCAUUAAAACAAAAAAUAUAAAAUAAAAAAAUUGAUUGUCCCGUAUAACUUUUUAUUUUAAUUUAUCAAAUAAAUAACAAGUCCUUUUUUCUCUCCCUAAAAUAAAGUACUUAUUGUGUCUCAAUCCAACUAACUAUUUAUAGUAAGAAAAUUUUAUUUAUUGAAACUUAUUUUAUCACAAAAAUUAGUACUAUUUUUUCUCUAUUGCCCAAAGAAUAGUAUUAAUGAGUUUGGUGUUCGUCAAGUGGAUUGUAGGAACCUAUUAAACUUUAAAUGUCAAAAUUCUAAUGUUGAUGAGCUCGUUAAAGAAUGUAGUUGUUCACACUUUAGUUAAGAUGACUACAUAUAUGGUUAGUCUUCUUUUAUGAGUUUUUUUCUUAAUAGGCUAAAUUUUAUUGAAACAUUUAGUCCAUAUAUAGCACAAGGGGUGAUAGUGAACUAAGGAAAUUACAAGAUUACUACAAAGUUCAUAAGGGAAACAGAAACAUACAAACUUAAACAACUAAAGACCCCUAAUACAUAGAUAAAAACGUAUAGUAGCACCCCACUCCAAAAUCACAACACCAAACAGCACUCACAACCUGCAACCCAAAAACAAUCUCCACAGACAAACAAUGAAAUCGACCCAGGCACCAAUUUUAUCAACACUCAAAACACCAGCCAAAAGAGGCACAUUACAACACCAAAAAAACCACACCUAAACCUGUUAAUAUCAACCGUAACACUCCAACAAGAACAAACUCCCACACCCACACACAAAACAGUAAAUGAACACCAAACUGCACCAAUAACAACAUUGUCAAUAAACCAGAAAACAACACAACAACCCCUUCACCCGCUACUCGCAAAACAAGUGGCAAAGACAAAACAACUCUAUACUUGCACAACUAGAACAGUAAAGACAAAACAACUCCAUGUAUCACAGCAAGACCACUCCAAACACUCAUGUCCCCGACCAAAACUAGACACCUUCAGAAGAAGGGAAAAAUAAAACACAUCAAGCACAAGGGGGAAAAAAAACGCACCAAAAUACAACAAAAAAAAUACAACUCAAAUUCUAGCAACAAAAUGCCUACAGACUGAAACAACACACAAGCCCAUAAUGGGCGAUUCAAAAGUCGCUUUUGAUUUCUUUGAAGAGUCGAAAUUACUUUAUUAUUUUUUGUAAAAAAAAUUAAUACAUCCCUCCUUAAAUAUAAUUAGGGUCUUGCUAACUUGUAAUCAAAAAGCACAAAAUAAGAAAGUUAGUGUAGAAAUUUAAUCUUAGAAAUUGUGCAUUUAUGAUUUUUAUAGGUUAAAAACUUAUCUUUUCAAUGCAACAUUUAUUUUUUAAUUCUAUUUUUAGAUCAUUAUAUUGUGCUAAUACAAUUUAGCAUUUUCCGUAGAGUUUUUCUAUUCACAUCUUAUAUAUUUCUGGUUACACUCAGUUUUUUUAAAAAAGUUUUUGAUAAUACCAAAAUUGUCAUUUUAUAUAAAUUUUCUUAAAAUCUUGAUUUCAUUGUCACUCUAAAAUUCCACUCUCUUUCACCCACCAACGAUCAAACAAUCUUGAUGUUCAAUUAAUCUCUAUGGAAGAUUAAAGAGUGAAUCAAACCAUCUUUCAUUCAUACUCGAUUGCAUAUAAAUAAGUGAAUUUUUUCUUCUUUUUCAAUAACGUUGGUUUCAAUUUUCUUCUUCUUGUUCAACUGCAUUGUACGACAGUUUCAGUUUUACAUUGUUGAGGUUAACUUAAAUUCAGUUUAAGUAGGUUCAUGUAAACUUAGUUUACAUAAUCUACUUAAACUUAGUUUACAUAACCUACUUAAACUGAGUUUAAGUAUGUACACUUAAACUCAGUUUACAUGACCUACUUAAACUAAGUUUACAUGUACAUACUUAAACUGAUAUUACGUAUAAUCAUUGAACAAGGUUGAACUUUUAGAUGUACACUUAAACUCAGUUUACAUGACCUACUUAAACUGAGUUUACAUGACCUACUUAAACUCCGUUUACAUGAGCUACUUAAACUAAGUUUACAUGAUCUACUUAAACUCCGUUUACAUGAGCUACUUAAACUAAGUUUACAUGAUCUACUUAAACUGAGUUUAAGUAUGUACACUUAAACUUAGUUUACAUGACCUACUUAAAAUAAGUUUACAUGUACAUACUUAAACUGAGAUUACGUAGAAUCAUUGAACAAGGUUGAACUUUUAAAUGUACACUUAAACUCGGUUUACAUGACCUACUUAAACUUAGUUUAAGUAUGUACACUUAAACUCAGUUUACAUGACCUAGUGAAACUAAGUUUACAUGACCUACUUAAACUGAAGAGAGAUUUUAGGGUGUAACCAAGAAAAAAGGAAGAUGCUUUUUGUAAAUUAAAUUUUAUGGAAGGGUAAUUUUAUCAUUUUGAGGUGCAACCAGAAUUAAACAGGGUGUAAUUAGAAAAACUCUUUCCCGUAUGAUUAAGGUUGUCUUAAAAAAAAUUUUAAUCAUUUUUCUAUUUAGUUUUUUUUUUUAUCAAUCAAGUAAUCUAAUGACUAGAAAUUCACCAUUUUAAAAUGAAUAAACAAGGUGUUCAGAGUUCAAAUUUCAAUCUCCAUAUGUAUAUUUUAUAUAAUGUCCCUACCAAUCUAGCGAAACUCGCAAACUUUAUUUUUAAGCUCUAAACUCACAAACUUCUAUUUCGUUAUUUAUGUAUCGAUUACCUUUAAUUAUUUUCCAUUCUUUUUGGUACAGCCUUCGUCAUGCAUUAAAAAAUGUGUGCCGUCAGCAGUAUAAUGUCACGGUAUUGCGUCUUUUUUGACGUCAUUAAUAUUUAAUAAUAUAUGCAUCAAAAAAGGUAUUCCUUCGGUAGAGAUUGACAGCUACUAUGAUUUUUUUUUUGAAGGAGACAGCUACUAUGAAUAUGAUGCAAAUGUUAAAGACAUAACAAAAUAUAAUUUAAUGUGUAAUUAAAAAAAUUAAAGCAAGCAUGUCCAAUAAAUAACAUAUUAUUAGGCUGUUUUCCAACAAUUGGUCUUGUUUUCCAACAAGACCAAUAAAUUAAAGCAAACAUGUUAUUUAUAAUAACAUAUCAUUAUAAAUAACAAGACCAAUGUCGAUUACUGUGUUUUUUUUUUAAAUAAUCCAUAUUGAAAACUUUAAUUCCAAACUAGCCUACGUAAAAGAAAAUUGCCAAAAUACUAUACUUUUCGGUUUGCAUAUUGGACCUUGCAAGUUAGGGUAUCUCGCAAGUCAAAUUAAUUAAUACAUAUGCUUUCUACUAUUCAACUGAGUGUACGUCUUUUUGCAUGUUUUAGAUUUAAUCUGGUCUAAGGAGGCUCUAUAUAAGAUAUUUUUAUUUGUUUUGGUGUUUCUUAUCAAGGAUAACUUGUUUAGACGAGGUAUCAUCAAUCAUGAUCACAAUUUUGUGUAAGUGGUUGUAGCGUCUUUGAAUGGACAAAUCAUCUGUUUUUUUUAAUGUAAUGUUUUUAGUGCUAUUUGACACCUUGUUCGUCGUUGGAUUGGGAUUUUUUCGGUCAACCCUUUUGGUAUUUUAGAAUAUUUUGUUCUAUUUGGUCAUUUAGCAUACGUUUCUAAAGUUCAGCGAUCUAUCUCGCACGUCAUUUGGUUCUUUUAUGCUUGUGUAAUUUAGAAAGAGAGGAACAACAAUAUUUUCAAUUCAGCAGCUCUUGGACAACAUUAAAUUACUCUCUUAUUGGUGGCAAAUUAUGCUAAUAUUGUUCUUGGAUAUCAUAGCCGAUGGCUUGUCCCUUUCCCUUGUUUGAGCAUUGUUUAAUUGCUCUCUGUUAUUUUACUCUCUUAUCAUUUUUUACUUGUUCCUUUUAUAAACCCAUAUGUUCUUCUCUAAUACUUCUUGUGCAGUUGUGCUUCAUAGAAUGUUUUCUUGUUGAUAAUAUAUUCCAUUCUGAUUCGUUAAAAAAACAAUUUUUUAGUUAAAAAUUGAAAGCCGGAAAGUGAGCUCUAUGUGAGAUUGAAAGGGUAUCUAUCUACUCUUAUGGAUAUAGAGGCUCUGGGAGUAAAAUGAUGCAGAACUGACUUUGUGGAAACAAUAAAUAAAAAAAUGGAGCAACUCACUUUAUGGAAAAACGAAAAUAAAAAACUACUCCCUCUGUCCCUUAAUAAGUGACACAGUUGACCCAAUUACGCAUACCAAUGCGUAAUUUUGGGUUUAAAUAUCUUGAAUAAUAUAUUGGAAAAAAAUUAUGAAAAUUUGAUAUUUUGAAAAUACUCAUCGAGACGAAUCUAACGACAUCUUAUAUGAUAUUAUUUAUCUUUGUAUAUUAGUAGAAAAAUAUGGUCAAAGUAAGUUAGGUCAAAAUUGCACAUUUUCAAACAGGUCAUUUAUUGCGGGACGGAGGGAGGGAGUAACGUUUUAUAUUGCUCUUGAUUUGGCCCAAUCUAAUCUUACAUAUGAAGAUGCUAUAUAUGGGAGAAAAAUGGGGAGAACUGCCUUUAUGGUAAAAAGAAAAUAAAAAACUAACCUCUUAGCCAAAUCUUCUUCAAUGAAUUGGUGCCCUUCUUAUGUGUUAAUUUUAAUAACAAAAUGCAUAAGUAAAACACUACAAUAUAUAUGAGAUUUAGUAACAUUUAAAUGUUAGUAAAUACAAGAAAAAUGUUACUAUUUAAAUUUAGUAAUAUUUGAUAAAUGUUACGUAAAGCCCGUAUUACUAAAUGAUUCAAUUGGUAAAAGAUUUGACCUUUUUAAGCAAGUGUUAAGCCUAUGGAGAGAAUAAAAAAACAAAAAACAAGUAGCAUCAAUAUAUUAGAGUUUAUGCACCCAGUUGAUAAAGCAUCCAAGUUUUAUAAUAUUGACUCUAAUGAUGGUCAUUGUAUAUAAUUUUUUUGUUCACAGCAUUGUAUAUACCAAAGAUGAGCACAUUCCGUGAAGAUAUAAACAAUUACAAGCCAAAAUUAUUUUAUUAAAGUAAUAAUACUGUAAGCAACAAUUGUUCAUUCCAGAUCAUACCAACUACAAAGCAGAUUAAACAGGAGUAUUAUAUAUACCAGUACAAAUGUAGUCAAUUAAAAAAGAUUAAAUGAGUAUAAGAUUAUACAUUUUCUUCACAUAUUCAUUUCUAUAAAAAGGAACCCUUCACAUACAUUAAUCACUCAUCCAUUAGCAAUAGCAUUGAACUCACAAUGGCUUCUUUUGCUACACUUUUCUCCUCUCUAAUUCUCACAGUAGCCCUUCUCUCAUUUUCUUGCUCAUCACAACAGUUCUUCUCACCAGUUGAAAAAGACCCAAUAACCAAUCUAUACUCCACUUUACUUUGGGUAGGAUCAUUACCUACACAUGAAUUCAAUUUUGUGAUUGAUAUUGGAGGACCAAUCCUAUGGUAUGACUGCAACAAAACCUACAAUUCUUCAGCCUACAAUCCCAUCUCUUGUGAAUCCAAACAUUGCACUAAUGAUGCUGGAUGCACUAGCUGCAAUGGCCCUUUCAAACCAGGUUGCACAAACAACACAUGUGGUGCUAACAUAAUUAACCCAUUAGUUGAUGCUAUUUUUUCAGGUGAC